Molecule: long non-coding RNA, 686 nt
Filed under: Malus domestica (apple)
Lineage: Eukaryota; Viridiplantae; Streptophyta; Magnoliopsida; Rosales; Rosaceae
Description: long non-coding RNA (MDOM_LNC013935)
Source: RNAcentral
UCGGGUUUUAUAGACAUAGAUUGGUUUAAUUUAUGCAUGAAAGCUACAGGUUUCAAGUGGUAAGUUUUGAAAUGAAAACUUCGGGUUUCAAAUGCGCUAAAUAUGAAACUAUAUGUUCAAUUUAGUUUUAUGAAUGAUUAGUUCAUAAAGGAAAGGUUCCUGCAAGAAUACAAAAUGUAAUAUGUUGAUUUAAGUGUAAUGGAUUUGAGUUGCUUUAGGACUACGAAAGGAUAUCAACGGUUCAAAUUAUAAAAAUAAAUUAUUGAAUCGUUAAUGUCCAAAAGUGAUCUUCAGGUUAAUAAUUUUGGAUUAAUUAUCAGAUUAAAGGACUACAUGUCACUUUUAAUUAAUUCAAUAGAUUAGGACCAAACGGGGUCAAUCGUGGAAGUAACAUAAUGACAUAUGGGUCGUAUUAGCUUCGAUUGGUGAUAAACCAAGUGAUAAUUAAAUUAGAAUUAAUUAGCGUAAAACAAAGUACCCCCAAAAAAUAUUUUGGGCAUGAUUUAUAAAGCGGAGAUGCCAAAAAUUGGCAUCGGGUUGAAAAAAAAUACACUGGAGUAGGCCCUAUAGAUUCGGCUGCAGGCUUAUUAGGCCUUGGUGAGGGUUGCAGGCCUUGGACCAAGUGGUCUGGGAAGCCUAGCAGCAAAAGCUACUGGUAUUAGGCCAAGAAAUUGGACACGGCUGCA